ACGGAAGGCAGCAGUGGGGAAUAUUGGGCAAUGGGGGCAACCCUGACCCAGCAACGCCGCGUGAAGGAAGAAGGCUUUCGGGUUGUAAACUUCUUUUACCAGGGACGAAGAAAGUGACGGUACCUGGAGAGAAAGCUACGGCUAACUACGUGCCAGCAGCCGCGGUAAUACGUAGGUAGCAAGCGUUGUCCGGAUUUACUGGGUGUAAAGGGCGUGUAGGCGGAGAUGCAAGUCAGGAGUGAAAUCUAUGGGCUUAACCCAUAAACUGCUUUUGAAACUGCAUCCCUUGAGUAUCGGAGAGGCAGGCGGAAUUCCUAGUGUAGCGGUGAAAUGCGUAGAUAUUAGGAGGAACACCAGUGGCGAAGGCGGCCUGCUGGACGACAACUGACGCUGAGGCGCGAAAGCGUGGGGAGCAAACAGGAUUAGAUACCCUGGUA
This 437-nucleotide ribosomal RNA is filed under the name uncultured Oscillospiraceae bacterium. RNAcentral's name for it is "bacterial SSU rRNA". It matches the Rfam family "Bacterial small subunit ribosomal RNA", at positions 341 to 792 of the family's 1533-position model. Lineage: Bacteria; Bacillati; Bacillota; Clostridia; Eubacteriales; Oscillospiraceae. The record is from RNAcentral.